Molecule: non-coding RNA, 116 nt
Organism: Crenarchaeota archaeon 13_1_40CM_3_52_4
Lineage: Archaea; Thermoproteati; Thermoproteota
Source: Rfam
GGGCCGGUAGUUCAGCCUGGUAUACUGACAACGUCAGGCCGAAGAACGUCCGGUUUGCAAGCAGACAUCGAAGCCAAGCCUCCGGAAGGCCGCGGGUUCAAAUCCCGCCCGGUCCA